GACGAACGCUGGCGGCGCGCCUAACACAUGCAAGUCGAGCGAAGCGGCGAACGGGUGAGUAACGCGUGAGGAACCUGCCUCUCACAACGGGAUAGCCUCGGGAAACCGGGAUUAAUACCGUAUGGUGCGAGAUGGCCUCGCGUCUGAUUGGUUAGGUGGUGGGGUAACGGCCUACCACGACGACGAUCAGUAACCGGCCUGAGGGGAAAAACGGUGACAUAGAAACUGAGACAAGGCCUAAGCUACGACGGGAGGCGGCAUUGGGGAAUAUUGCACAAAGGGCGAAAGCGUGAUGCAGCGACUCCGCGUGGGGGAUGAAGGCUGUCGGGUUGUAAAACUCUUUCGCUAUGGCUAAUUUUUUGGUGAGUUGAGGGUAGGUGAAGAAGAAGCACCGGCUAACUACGUGCCAGCCGCCGCGGUAAUAC
Molecule: ribosomal RNA, 425 nt
Filed under: uncultured bacterium
Lineage: Bacteria
Description: partial 16S ribosomal RNA
Rfam family: Bacterial small subunit ribosomal RNA
Source: RNAcentral